This 373-nucleotide ribosomal RNA is filed under the name uncultured organism. RNAcentral's name for it is "bacterial SSU rRNA". It matches the Rfam family "Bacterial small subunit ribosomal RNA", at positions 526 to 896 of the family's 1533-position model. The record is from RNAcentral.
CGUAGGGUGCAAGCGUUGUCCGGAAUUAUUGGGCGUAAAGAGCUCGUAGGCGGUCUGUCGCGUCGGCUGUGUAAACUCGGGGCUCAACUCCGAGCUUGCAGUCGAUACGGGCAGGCUAGAGUUCGGCAGGGGAGACUGGAAUUCCUGGUGUAGCGGUGAAAUGCGCAGAUAUCAGGAGGAACACCGGUGGCGAAGGCGGGUCUCUGGGCCGAUACUGACGCUGAGGAGCGAAAGCGUGGGGAGCGAACAGGAUUAGAUACCCUGGUAGUCCACGCCGUAAACGUUGGGCGCUAGGUGUGGGAUCCCUUCCACGGGUUCCGUGCCGCAGCUAACGCAUUAAGCGCCCCGCCUGGGGAGUACGGCCGCAAGGCUA